This 500-nucleotide ribosomal RNA is filed under the name uncultured bacterium. Its description in RNAcentral is "partial 16S ribosomal RNA". It matches the Rfam family "Bacterial small subunit ribosomal RNA", at positions 28 to 523 of the family's 1533-position model. The record is from RNAcentral.
GAUGAACGCUAGCGACAGGCUUAACACAUGCAAGUCGAGGGGCAGCAACACUUUCGGGUGGUUGGCGACCGGCGCACGGGUGAGUAACACGUAUGCAACCUACCUACUACUAGAGGAUAGCCCGUUGAAAGACGGAUUAAUACUUUAUGACACAGGGGUGCCGCAUGGCAAUAUUUGUUAAAGAUUUAUUGGUAGUAGAUUGGCAUGCGAAGGAUUAGCUAGUUGGUUGAGGUAACGGCUCACCAAGGCAACGAUCCUUAGGGGUUCUGAGAGGAAGGUCCCCCACACUGGUACUGAGACACGGACCAGACUCCUACGGGAGGCAGCAGUGAGGAAUAUUGGUCAAUGGACGAGAGUCUGAACCAGCCAAGUCGCGUGAAGGAAGACGGUAUUAUGUAUUGUAAACUUCUUUUAUAGGGGAAUAAAAUGCGGCACGUGUGCUGUUUUGUAUGUACCCUAUGAAUAAGCAUCGGCUAACUCCGUGCCAGCCGCCGCAGUAA